UACGUAGGGUGCGAGCGUUAAUCGGAAUUACUGGGCGUAAAGCGUGCGCAGGCGGUUCGCAAAGUCUGAUGUGAAAGCCCCGGGCUCAACCUGGGAAUUGCAUUCGAAACUGGCAGGCUAGAGUCUUGUAGAGGGGGGUAGAAUUCCAGGUGUAGCGGUGAAAUGCGUAGAGAUCUGGAGGAAUACCGGUGGCGAAGGCGGCCCCCUGGACAAAGACUGACGCUCAGGUGCGAAAGCGUGGGGAGCAAACAGG
This 253-nucleotide ribosomal RNA is filed under the name uncultured bacterium. RNAcentral's name for it is "partial 16S ribosomal RNA". It matches the Rfam family "Bacterial small subunit ribosomal RNA", at positions 524 to 776 of the family's 1533-position model. The record is from RNAcentral.